CCAACAACAAAAUCAAAUGGAGUAGUAAUUACAAAGCCCAAUAUAAUAUUUUCACUACCUAGGGUUAAAAUAGAAAUGUCUAAGAAUCUACCACCGCCUCUCCCUGCUUUCUCCUCAAAUCAACCGCAGCCUCCAUCUUCGGCUUGGUUUAUGUCCUUAUUAACUGAUCAUGUCGAAUGAAGACUCCAUUAAAAAUAGCGAAUGAAGAAAAAGAAUUAGGAAAAAAGCAGUCGGAGUGGACUCACCGCCAUUUCCGCCGUACAUCAUCAGGCAGCCCUUUGCAAAGAUCUGCAUCAAGACUGAUUUGGACCUUUCUGCCUUUCAUUUCACAUCGAUCAAGUUGGAGCCUGGAGGUGCACAUGGAUGAAUACGCUUUUCACACUUUCCAAGAUUUCAGCAAAAGUAUUUAAUGGUGUAUUUGUAAAUCUGUUUUGCAACCAUCAGUUAAUACGUAAUGUGUAAAAAAAUACUAUAUUUUUCCCGCCCAAAGUAUGCCACGUGUCUGCCAAAAAACUGCGCUUGUCUAUAGGAAUUUUGGAUUCACGGAAUCACGGUGGUGUGGUUAAUGACAGCCCUACAGACUAUGAGGAUGAAUGUACCCAACUGAUCCAAAGACAACGUUGCUCCAAGGCAAGGACCGCGCGGAAACUACAUUGAGCGCUUUGGCUGUAUCAUCCAAGCAUAUCCGUCGAUCAUGAAAGGUUUAUUGUGUAUGUAGUACUAAUCAUGAACAUUCGAUUUUUUGUAUGCAUGGAUUAUCUCCAUAAGAAUAAGUUAGUAGCCGAAGAUGAAGGAGAACAAGUAAAUUGAUUCCAAAAUCCA
This is a non-coding RNA of Salvia hispanica, 822 nucleotides long. The record is from RefSeq and is a predicted model, not a curated record. NCBI's taxonomy places the organism in Eukaryota, Viridiplantae, Streptophyta, Magnoliopsida, Lamiales, Lamiaceae.